This 429-nucleotide ribosomal RNA is filed under the name Verrucomicrobiota bacterium. RNAcentral describes it as "Verrucomicrobia bacterium partial 16S ribosomal RNA". It matches the Rfam family "Bacterial small subunit ribosomal RNA", at positions 355 to 776 of the family's 1533-position model. The record is from RNAcentral. Lineage: Bacteria; Pseudomonadati; Verrucomicrobiota.
UAGGGAAUCUUCCGCAAUGGACGAAAGUCUGACGGAGCAACGCCGCGUGAGUGAAGAAGGAUUUCGGUUCGUAAAACUCUGUUGUUAGGGAAGAAAAAAUGUAUAGUAACUAUAUACAAAAGAGACGGUACCUAACCAGAAAGCCACGGCUAACUACGUGCCAGCAGCCGCGGUAAUACGUAGGUGGCAAGCGUUGUCCGGAAUUAUUGGGCGUAAAGCGCGCGCAGGUGGUUUAGAAAGUCUGAUGUGAAAGCCCACGGCUCAACCGUGGAGGGUCAUUGGAAACUAAUAAACUUGAGUGCAGGAGAGAAAAGUGGAAUUCCUAGUGUAGCGGUGAAAUGCGUAGAUAUAUGGAGGAACACCGGUGGCGAAAGCGGCUCUCUGGUCUGUAACUGACGCUGAGGCUCGAAAGCGUGGGGAGCGAACAGG